RNAcentral lists this ribosomal RNA (492 nucleotides) under uncultured bacterium. Its description in RNAcentral is "partial 16S ribosomal RNA". It matches the Rfam family "Bacterial small subunit ribosomal RNA", at positions 29 to 507 of the family's 1533-position model. The record is from RNAcentral.
AGUGAACGCUGGCGGUAGGCCUAACACAUGCAAGUCGAACGGCAGCACAGUAAGAGCUUGCUCUUACGGGUGGCGAGUGGCGGACGGGUGAGGAAUACAUCGGAAUCUACUUUUUCGUGGGGGAUAACGUAGGGGAACUUACGCUAAUACCGCAUACGACCUACGGGUGAAAGCAGGGGAUCUUCGGACCUUGCGCGAUUGAAUGAGCCGAUGUCGGAUUAGCUAGUUGGCGGGGUAAAGGCCCACCAAGGCGACGAUCCGUAGCUGGUCUGAGAGGAUGGUCAGCCACACUGGAACUGAGACACGGUCCAGACUCCUACGGGAGGCAGCAGUGGGGAAUAUUGGACAAUGGGCGCAAGCCUGGUCCAGCCAUACCGCGUGGGUGAAGAAGGCCUUCGGGUUGUAAAGCCCUUUUGUUGGGAAAGAAAAGCAGCAGGUUAAUACCCCGCUGUUCUGACGGUACCCAAAGAAUAAGCACCGGCUAACUUCGUG